GCCUGGGUGGCUCAGUCGGUUGAGUGUCUGACUUCAGCUCAGGUCAUGAUAGCACAGCUCGUGAGUUUGAGCCCCACAUCAGGCU
This 85-nucleotide transfer RNA is filed under the name Felis catus (domestic cat). It matches the Rfam family "tRNA". Rfam says of the family: Transfer RNA (tRNA) molecules are approximately 80 nucleotides in length. Their secondary structure includes four short double-helical elements and three loops (D, anti-codon, and T loops). Further hydrogen bonds mediate the characteristic L-shaped molecular structure. tRNAs have two regions of fundamental functional importance: the anti-codon, which is responsible for specific mRNA codon recognition, and the 3' end, to which the tRNAs corresponding amino acid is attached (by aminoacyl-tRNA synthetases). tRNAs cope with the degeneracy of the genetic code in two manners: having more than one tRNA (with a specific anti-codon) for a particular amino acid; and 'wobble' base-pairing, i.e. permitting non-standard base-pairing at the 3rd anti-codon position. Lineage: Eukaryota; Metazoa; Chordata; Mammalia; Carnivora; Felidae. The record is from Rfam by way of RNAcentral. RNAcentral also lists the same sequence under 2 other names.